AACUGAUACUACCUGCGGGAACCUGCGGAAGGAUCAUUACCGAGCUCGUGCCCUUCGGGGCAGAUCUCCCACCCGAUGUCAUGACUACGAUGUUGCUUUGGCGGGCCGCCGGGCCCUGCCCGCCAGAGGUCUCCUAGACUCUGAAUAUUAGUGUCGUCCGAGUAUCACAGAAUAGUCAAAACUUUUAACAACGGAUCUCU
This 200-nucleotide unclassified non-coding RNA is filed under the name soil metagenome. RNAcentral's name for it is "partial contains 5.8S ribosomal RNA, internal transcribed spacer 2, and large subunit ribosomal RNA". The record is from RNAcentral.